UACGGGGGGAGCAAGCGUUGUUCGGAUUUACUGGGCGUAAAGGGCGCGUAGGCGGUCAGCACAAGUCAGUUGUGAAAUCUCCGGGCUUAACUCGGAAAGGUCAACUGAUACUGUGCGACUAGAGUGCGGAAGGGGCAACUGGAAUUCUCGGUGUAGCGGUGAAAUGUGCAGAUAUCGGGAGGAACACCGGUGGCGAAGGCGGUUCUCUGGGCCUUACCUGACGCUGAGGAGCGAAAGCGUGGGGAGCGAACAGG
Molecule: ribosomal RNA, 254 nt
Filed under: uncultured bacterium
Lineage: Bacteria
Description: partial 16S ribosomal RNA
Rfam family: Bacterial small subunit ribosomal RNA
Source: RNAcentral